GGUAACCUGACUUCCGGUCAUGUGUUCUCCCCUCCCCCGUCCCCAUCCGCCCCGGGCGCUGGUCGUGUCCUCGCUCGCUCCGCGGCCCCACUGCACUCCCGGUGCCCUGAGGCAGGGAGUUCCGCCGCUCACUCCCUGUGCUGACGGGGUAGGGAUGUGCCCUCAGCAUGGGGAGGAGCCCUACCUUAUUCAGUGCAUGAAUUAGUCCUGUGUUGGGAAUCGAACAGGACUGUUUAUUGAAGAAGGCUAUUAUUUGUAGGAUGUCUGCUUUAUUUGCUGCAGAAGUCACGAGGUAUGAAGUGAAUGAGGCAGGGGAUUGCAGGAAGAGAAAGGAUGGUCUCAAUCUGAAGGUAUUUGAAUGCUGCCCUGGAGAACUACAUGCUGUCCCUCUCUCUGCCACAGAGUUCCUAUGUGAUGCUAGAAUGAGAGACUGCUUCAUCAGACUGGGGCUGUGUCUGACAGACAUUCAUUUCUG
RNAcentral lists this long non-coding RNA (475 nucleotides) under Pelusios castaneus (West African mud turtle). Its description in RNAcentral is "lncRNA (ENSPCEG00000002989.1)". Lineage: Eukaryota; Metazoa; Chordata; Testudines; Pelomedusidae. The record is from RNAcentral.